CAGAACAGCUUCACUUAAUUGCUCACCUCAGUUUGCAUUUGUUGAAGAAGUUGCCUCUUGCGCCUGUUUCUGGAUACUCUUUCCUCCAUGGACGCCCAGUUUCUGACAACACAAAUACAGAGACAGUCACUGCUGAUGUUCUAUGCGGACCAAGCUAUGACUUGCGGGGACAUGUCGUCUACAUCAAAGGGCAGGUUGGAGUUCCAAAUGGACGGUUUUCCCAAAGCCACAUCCUGGGAGUAUCAAUGAGAAACACCAUAGGGCUGUUUAUUUGGAGCAUGCUAGGUUGGAGGGCCCCUGUUGCUGAGAGGAUGACGACAGGAAGAGGAUACCAUAGUGGUAAACUCAUGACUGUAUUAGAUAUCAUUUAGCACACUCAAAAUGUGAGGGGAAGCUACGUAUUGCUGCCAACGUAGAUUUUACUGCAGUUAUCUUAGGUUGUCAUUUAAAGUAUAUAUUUACUAAAGGAUGCGCAUUAGAAAUCAUGAAUCAGUGCCACCAAGAUCAGUCCUGAUGUUCAGGUUUCUGUUGAUUUCCUAUGAGACAGAACAGCAUUGUUUUUUGUUGUUGCUUAAUAUGAAGUAGUGCAGUUACUUUAUUUGUGGCAGCUGGUGUUUGGAAAUCAUCUUAUCUGUACCUGCUAAUGUCAUGAUCCCUUCACACUUUUUUAUAUGAGUUGUUUGUUUAACUCUUGGUAAUGGCUCACAGUGAGCAAAGCCUAUACUAGAAUCAGAGUUUAUUCCCUUUACUGCUCAUAUAAACAUCUUUUUCAGGGUUGCAUACAACUUUUCAAAAGUUCUGGUCUCUUUUUUUUUUUUUGGUGGGUUUUUGAUCAAUUCCUUGUAAAACUGCGUACAUGAUGUUUUGUUUUUCUGUGCAUGGAAAUAAAUGAGUAAAUGAGUUUUGACACAUGAUGGAGUAACUGACAAGUCAGAUUACUGGUCUCAGCUAUGCUCAGGAUCAGCAGGGUGUUGGCAACACCUCUGUGCAGACCAGGACAAACAAAAGAUCCAUAGCAUGUUUAAUGGAGAAUGGAAGGGCGACUGAUGAGAAGUAAACACUAUUGAGCAAUAUGAAAUAUGAUGAUUAGAUUUGCUUCAGAAAAGUAUAUUAUACUGGUGCAUACAUCUGUUCCAUUUCAAAUAUAAACAUGAUAAAACUAAGUCAUUAAAUGUUUAUGCUCUAGUUGUAAUGUGGAUGAGUUAUAUGCUUGCUGAUACAGCUACAAAUUGCACAGCAUGGCAAAAUCUCAGCCUUUUUGUAUGACACAAAGAAAUACAAAUGAACUUACUGGAGGUAUUGGUAUCUAGAUCAGGGAUUUUCAAACGAGUCCAGGGACCCAAA
Cyprinus carpio (common carp) is the source of this 1344-nucleotide long non-coding RNA. RefSeq lists it as uncharacterized. The record is from RefSeq and is a predicted model, not a curated record. NCBI's taxonomy places the organism in Eukaryota, Metazoa, Chordata, Actinopteri, Cypriniformes, Cyprinidae.